AAUAGAUACCCGGGUAGUCCACGCCGUAAACGAUGAGUGCUAGGUGUUGGGGGGGACCCCCCUCAGUGCCGCAGGUAACCCAAUAAGCACUCCGCCUGGGGAGUACGGUCGCAAGACUGAAACUCAAAGGAAUUGACGGGGGCCCGCACAAGCGGUGGAGCAUGUGGUUUAAUUCGAAGCAACGCGAAGAACCUUACCAGGGCUUGACAUCCCGCUGACCGGUGUAGAGAUAUGCCUUUCCCCUUCGGGGGACAGCGGUGACAGGUGGUGCAUGGUUGUCGUCAGCUCGUGUCGUGAGAUGUUGGGUUCAGUCCCGCAACGAGCGCAACCCUUGUUUCUAGUUGCCAGCACUUCGGGUGGGCACUCUAGAGAGACAGCCGGUGAAAGCCGGAGGAAGGUGGGGAUGACGUCAAGUCAUCAUGCCCCUUAUGUCCUGGGCUACACACGUGCUACAAUGGCUGGUACAAAGGGCAGCGAACCCGCGAGGGGGAGCCAAUCCCAAAAACCAGUCUCAGUUCGGAUUGCAGGCUGCAACUCG
Molecule: ribosomal RNA, 538 nt
Filed under: uncultured bacterium
Lineage: Bacteria
Description: bacterial SSU rRNA
Rfam family: Bacterial small subunit ribosomal RNA
Source: RNAcentral